CCUUGUGCCAGCAGCCGCGGUAAUUCCAGCUCCAAUAGCGUAUAUUAAAAUUGUUGCGGUUAAAACGCUCGUAGUUGGAUAUUUGUUGAGAACUGCCGGUCUACCCCAGUGGUCAGCACACGGUUUGUUCUCGGCACUUUCCUGGGGAGAGUGUUUGCACUUCACUGUGUGGCACAUGAUCCAGAACUUUUACUUUGGGGAAAUGAGAGUGUUUCAAGCAGGCGCCUGUCGUGAAUACGUUAGCAUGGAAUAAUAGCAUGGGACCGCGGUCUGAAGCUGUUGGUUUUUGGGCCGUGGUAAUGAAAAUAGGGAUAGUUGGGGGUAUUCGUAUUUAACUGUCAGAGGUGAAAUUCUUGGAUUUUUUAAAGACGGACUACUGCGAAAGCAUCUGCCCAGGAUGUUUUUAUUGAUCAAGAACGAAAGUUAGGGGAUCGAAGACGAUCAGAUACCGUCCUAGUCUUAACCUUAAACCAUGCCGACUAGAGAUUUGGGUCGUCAGAAUCGUGACGCCCUGAGCACCUUAGGGGAAACCAAAGUCUUCGGGUUCCGGGGGGAGUAUGGUCGCAAGGCUGAAACUUAAAGGAAUUGACGGAAGGGCACCACCAGGAGUGGAGCCUGCGGCUUAAUUUGACUCAACACGGGGAAACUUACCAGGUCCGGACAUAGAGAGGAUUGACAGACUGAUAGCUCUUUCUUGAUUCUAUGGGUGGUGGUGCAUGGGCCGUUCUUAGUUGGUGGAGUGAUUUGUCUGGUUAAUUCCGUUAACGAACGAGACCUUAACCUGCUAAAUAGUUUCCAGAACCAUAUAGUUUCAGGAUGAUUUCUUAGAGGGACUUUGUGUGCGUAACGUGAGGAAGUGUGAGGCAAUAACAGGUCUGUGAUGCCCA
This 887-nucleotide ribosomal RNA is filed under the name uncultured eukaryote. Its description in RNAcentral is "SSU rRNA". It matches the Rfam family "Eukaryotic small subunit ribosomal RNA", at positions 560 to 1473 of the family's 1831-position model. The record is from RNAcentral.